Molecule: ribosomal RNA, 534 nt
Filed under: Metynnis cf. mola
Lineage: Eukaryota; Metazoa; Chordata; Actinopteri; Characiformes; Serrasalmidae
Description: partial large subunit ribosomal RNA
Rfam family: Bacterial large subunit ribosomal RNA
Source: RNAcentral
GGAGGUCCUGCCUGCCCAGUGACAACUAGUUAAACGGCCGCGGUAUUUUGACCGUGCUAAGGUAGCGCAAUCACUUGUCCUUUAAAUGAGGACCUGUAUGAAUGGCGGAACGAGGGCUUAACUGUCUCCUUUUUCCAGUCAAUGAAAUUGAUCUGCCCGUGCAGAAGCGGGCAUACUAAUACAAGACGAGAAGACCCUUUGGAGCUUAAGACACCAGGCCAACUAUGUCAAAGACCCAAAUUUAUUUUAAACCCAAGCCAAACAAACAGCUAACUGGCCACUGUCUUCGGUUGGGGCGACCACGGGGGAAAGCAAAGCCCCCAAGUAGAAUGGGGACCACACCCUAAAACUAAGAGGGACACCUCUAAGCCACAGAACAUCUGACUAAAAAGAUCCGGCCAAUUUAAGCCGAUCAACGAACCAAGUUACCCUAGGGAUAACAGCGCAAUCCCCUCCAAGAGUCCAUAUCGACGAGGGGGUUUACGACCUCGAUGUUGGAUCAGGACAUCCUAAUGGUGCAGCCGCUAUUAAGGA